GAUCAUGGCUCAGGACGACGCUGGCGGCACGCUUAACACAUGCAAGUCGAACGGAGAAUUUUGGUUUACUGAGAAUUCUUAGUGGCGGACGGGUGAGUAACACGUGAGCAACCUGCCUUUGAGAGAGGGAUAGCUUCUGGAAACGGAUGGUAAUACCUCAUAACGUAACUUAAAGACAUCUUUUAGUUACCAAAGAUUUAUCGCUCAAAAGAUGGGCUCGCGUCUGAUUAGGUAGUUGGUGAGGUAACGGCCCACCAAGCCGACGAUCAGUAGCCGGACUGAGAGGUUGAACGGCCACAUUGGGACUGAGACACGGCCCAGACUCCUACGGGAGGCAGCAGUGGGGAAUAUUGCACAAUGGGGGAAACCCUGAUGCAGCGAUGCCGCGUGGAGGAAGAAGGUUUUCGGAUUGUAAACUCCUGUCUUAAAGGACGAUAAUGACGGUACUUUAGGAGGAAGCUCCGGCUAACUACGUGCCAGCAGCUGC
RNAcentral lists this ribosomal RNA (487 nucleotides) under uncultured bacterium. RNAcentral describes it as "bacterial SSU rRNA". It matches the Rfam family "Bacterial small subunit ribosomal RNA", at positions 15 to 518 of the family's 1533-position model. The record is from RNAcentral.